UACGUAGGGUGCAAGCGUUGUCCGGAAUUAUUGGGCGUAAAGAGCUCGUAGGCGGUUUGUCACGUCGUCUGUGAAAUCCCGAGGCUUAACCUCGGGCCUGCAGGCGAUACGGGCAGACUUGAGCACUGUAGGGGAGACUGGAAUUCCUGGUGUAGCGGUGGAAUGCGCAGAUAUCAGGAGGAACACCGGUGGCGAAGGCGGGUCUCUGGGCAGUAACUGACGCUGAGGAGCGAAAGCGUGGGUAGCGAACAGG
RNAcentral lists this ribosomal RNA (253 nucleotides) under uncultured bacterium. RNAcentral's name for it is "partial 16S ribosomal RNA". It matches the Rfam family "Bacterial small subunit ribosomal RNA", at positions 524 to 776 of the family's 1533-position model. The record is from RNAcentral.